UGGGGAAUUUUGGACAAUGGGGGAAACCCUGAUCCAGCCAUCCCGCGUGUGCGAUGAAGGCCUUCGGGUUGUAAAGCACUUUGGCAGGAAAGAAACGUCAUGGGUUAAUACCCCGUGAAACUGACGGUACCUGCAGAAUAAGCACCGGCUAACUACGUGCCAGCAGCCGCGGUAAUACGUAGGGUGCAAGCGUUAAUCGGAAUUACUGGGCGUAAAGCGUGCGCAGGCGGUUCGGAAAGAAAGAUGUGAAAUCCCAGAGCUCAACUUUGGAACUGCAUUUUUAACUACCGGGCUAGAGUGGGUCAGAGGGAGGUGGAAUUCCGCGUGUAGCAGUGAAAUGCGUAGAUAUGCGGAGGAACACCGAUGGCGAAGGCAGCCUCCUGGGAUAACACUGACGAUCAUGCACGAAAGCGUGGGGAGCAAACAGG
This 428-nucleotide ribosomal RNA is filed under the name Acidobacteriota bacterium. RNAcentral describes it as "Acidobacteria bacterium partial 16S ribosomal RNA". It matches the Rfam family "Bacterial small subunit ribosomal RNA", at positions 355 to 776 of the family's 1533-position model. Lineage: Bacteria; Pseudomonadati; Acidobacteriota. The record is from RNAcentral.